GCUGCCGAUUUCGUGCCGCUCAUUCGCGGCGCAGCGGCCAAACUGGCAGCAGCUCUUUCAAAUGUCUUUCUCUGGUAGUGGCUUAGCGGUUGUCACCAUAAAACCAGUUUUUCUGAUACGGCACAGGGCUUUCAAGAUCCCACAAGGCUGCGGUCGAUGAUGUGCCAUGGGAGAGUCGGUAUCCCUUCCUGACAUCGUCAACAGCAGAAGCUGAGCUGAUGCUGGCUGGAAACUUUUCUUCGAGAAGUGUCUGGGCCAAGGCUCGGAGCACUGAUGGGGUGCGGUCUGCGGACUUGGUGGCGCAGUGGACCACAGCCCAGUACAGGAACAUCAAGCUUACGGGGGUAACCGACCGAUCGUGCACCUUAGACUGUAUCUUCAUAUGAAAUACUUCCAUUUGCGUGUAUCAAGAGCACGCGAGUACAAAGCACCGGACCUGUCUCACAUAUACGUCUUUUCUCUGUGUUGGUUCGGUAUCGCCCUUAAAGACUACAGUAAUUCACAGAAGCAGGUGAAUCAACAACAAGACAUACGUGACGACGAUGACAUGUGGUGUUCCAUCGCAGGAAUUGCGAUACUGUACCCCGGAAGCAGGUGACACUCAUUAUGAGGCACACAAGGAUCUCAUUUUCACAACACAAUCCGACUCGAGUGGAGUGCACUAUAUUUUCAUCUCAGUUGAAAUCAGAAUGCGGCGUAUGUAGUGACAAAUGGAAAGGGGUAAAAAUACGCAGGAAAAUUACAAAAAUUCCGAAUUGAGAUCAAACGGUACGUGGAGGAGUGUUCUGUAAUUCCGGAAUCAUAGGAUGCGACCUUUUCCGAAUCAAGGUCCGGUGAUGAGCAAACGCAGCGCAACAACUAUAUGUCAUGAUGAUGGUGUGGGUAAAUUCGGCGCUUCACACUGCUGUCCCUUUGCCGUUGGGUCUAGCAUGAUGGGGAUGAUGAUGUAGUGUGGUGUAUAGUGGGAAAAUGCGAACAGAUACCAAGCAGGUCGGUCGAUUUGUAAAACGUUUACAACAGAACGCAUGGUUCUAAUGGUUCUAAGUUUGGUCGCGCGUUGUCCCGAGCACUGAGGGUGCGAGACGAAGCUGAGGAGGUCGGUUGUUCAGCUUUCCAAUUUAAAACAGCAGUCGAUGUCGCUCACUUUCGUACCGGCAUCAGACAACAUAGGUAUUAUCUAUGUUCGCUAGCACACUGCACCCGCAGAACGGCCUGUCGCAGACUAUUUGGGGGCGAUAACACGGAGCGAAGGCGACUUCAAAGACGAGGGUGAUUGAAUCCCUGCCAACUCCCUCUUGCAAGGCGUUGUUUUGAUGCUGAAGCAUAUUGUGCAACGAAACUCGCAGAGUUGCAAUUACAAUCUGCUCAUUUCCAAAGCCGUUCCAGGAAAUACUAAACUCCGAAGGCUGUGGAAUGCUUAGUACAGGUGAAAAACAAAAACGUGGAGUACUUAAUCCCAACGAGCCCGUUUGCAUAGAGGUCGAGGAUGAGUCUCAGACUCAUUCACAAUAGCCUUGGCAGUGCAUGAAGCACGCGCUCGGUGCGCGUGGAGGAAGCGCUACCAAGGCUAUCGCGAAUGAGUCUGAGACUCGUACUCAACUUUUAUGCAAACGGACUGCCUACUGCGACAGUUGUAUUAUGGGAAAAUAUCCAUGACAGUAUGUGCUUCCUCAUUGUCUCGUUUUUUUCAGCGUGCUCUCACUUAGUAAGAAAGGUGAAAACAGCGCCUCAGGUGCACUCUCUAAAACAGAGGGGGGGGGGGGGGUAUAAUGGCAUGAUCGG
RNA transcript from Ornithodoros turicata, 1782 nucleotides. RefSeq lists it as uncharacterized. NCBI's taxonomy places the organism in Eukaryota, Metazoa, Arthropoda, Arachnida, Ixodida, Argasidae. The transcript has 3 exons. The record is from RefSeq and is a predicted model, not a curated record.